This 253-nucleotide ribosomal RNA is filed under the name uncultured bacterium. RNAcentral describes it as "partial 16S ribosomal RNA". It matches the Rfam family "Bacterial small subunit ribosomal RNA", at positions 524 to 776 of the family's 1533-position model. The record is from RNAcentral.
UACGUAGGUGGCAAGCGUUAUCCGGAAUUACUGGGCGUAAAGCGCACGCAGGCGGUCUGUUAAGUUUGACGUGAAAGCUCCCGGCUUAACUGGGAGAGGUCGUUGAAGACUGGCAGACUUGAGGCGAUGAGAGGGGUGUAGAAUUCCCGGUGUAGAGGUGAAAUUCGUAGAUAUCGGGAGGAACACCGGUGGCGAAGGCGGCGAUCUGGGUCGAUACUGACGCUGAGGUGCGAAAGCGUGGGGAGCGAACAGG